RNAcentral lists this non-coding RNA (43 nucleotides) under Plasmodium falciparum 3D7. The record is from RNAcentral. Lineage: Eukaryota; Apicomplexa; Aconoidasida; Haemosporida; Plasmodiidae.
CAUCAUUAUCAUCAUUGUCAUCGUCAAAGUCUUCUUGUCCGGA